GAUCCCUGGCUCAGGACGAACGCUGGCGGCGUGCCUAAUACAUGCAAGUCGAGCGAAUGAUAGGGAGCUUGCUCCCAUGAUUUAGCGGCGGACGGGUGAGUAACACGUGGGCAACCUACCUGUAAGACUGGGAUAACUUCGGGAAACCGGAGCUAAUACCGGAUAAUUUCUUUUCUCGCAUGAGAGAAGAUGGAAAGACGGUUUCGGCUGUCACUUACAGAUGGGCCCGCGGCGCAUUAGCUAGUUGGUGAGGUAAUGGCUCACCAAGGCCACGAUGCGUAGCCGACCUGAGAGGGUGAUCGGCCACACUGGGACUGAGACACGGCCCAGACUCCUACGGGAGGCAGCAGUAGGGAAUCUUCCGCAAUGGACGAAAGUCUGACGGAGCAACGCCGCGUGAGCGAAGAAGGCCUUCGGGUCGUAAAGCUCUGUUGUUAGGGAAGAACAAGUACCAGAGUAACUGCUGGUACCUUGACGGUACCUAACCAGAAAGCCACGGCUAA
RNAcentral lists this ribosomal RNA (503 nucleotides) under Bacillaceae bacterium CL7.79. Its description in RNAcentral is "bacterial SSU rRNA". It matches the Rfam family "Bacterial small subunit ribosomal RNA", at positions 15 to 500 of the family's 1533-position model. Lineage: Bacteria; Bacillati; Bacillota; Bacilli; Caryophanales; Bacillaceae. The record is from RNAcentral.